UAUAAACGAUAAGCCCCGUAGUAUCUUUCUUGUUCUUAUUGUGGUUAGUAUACCAUCAUUAUUAGAUAAUUUUAUUAAAAAAAUUAUUAUAAUUAAACGAGUGUUAAAUAUAUUAGAUCAUGGUGCUGCUGAUGAAUAAGUUUCAAAUGGGUUACAAUAAAUUUAAUUUACUACGAAUUUAUAAAUGAAAUAUUGUAUUGAAGGUGGAUUUAAUAGUAAUAUAAAUUUAAUAUGUUUAUAUGAGAUUAG
Molecule: ribosomal RNA, 249 nt
Filed under: Scyllarus caparti
Lineage: Eukaryota; Metazoa; Arthropoda; Malacostraca; Decapoda; Scyllaridae
Description: partial 12S ribosomal RNA
Source: RNAcentral